This 253-nucleotide ribosomal RNA is filed under the name uncultured bacterium. Its description in RNAcentral is "partial 16S ribosomal RNA". It matches the Rfam family "Bacterial small subunit ribosomal RNA", at positions 524 to 776 of the family's 1533-position model. The record is from RNAcentral.
UACAGAGGGUGCAAGCGUUAAUCGGAAUUACUGGGCGUAAAGCGUGCGUAGACGGUUACAUAAGUCGGGUGUGAAAGCCCCGGGCUCAACCUGGGAAUUGCAUUCGAGACUGCGUAGCUAGGGUGCGGAAGAGGGAAGCGGAAUUUCCGGUGUAGCGGUGAAAUGCGUAGAGAUCUCCAAGAACACCCGUUGCGAAGGCGGCCGACUGGACACAUAUUGACGCUGAGGCUCGAAAGCAUGGGGAGCAAACAGG